This is a long non-coding RNA of Eriocheir sinensis (Chinese mitten crab), 1452 nucleotides long. RefSeq lists it as uncharacterized. The record is from RefSeq and is a predicted model, not a curated record. The transcript has 6 exons. NCBI's taxonomy places the organism in Eukaryota, Metazoa, Arthropoda, Malacostraca, Decapoda, Varunidae.
UACCACGGCUGACGAGCUCCACCUGCCCGGGUUUGUUGUUCGGAGUUUGCUCUCCUAGGCAGAUUGCCUACCACGGCUGACGAGCUCCACCUGCCCGGGUUUGUUGUUCGGAGUUUGCUCUCCUAGGUGAAUUGCCUCCCACGGCUAACGAGCUCCACCUGCCCGGGUUUGUUGUUCGGAGUUUGCUCUCCUAGGUGAAUUGCCUACCACGGCUAACGACCUCCACCUGCCCGGGUUUGUUUAGAGUUUGCUCUCCUAGGUGAAUUGCCUACCACGGCUGACGAGCUCCACCUGCCCGGGUUUAUUGUUCGGAGUUUGCUCUCCUAGGUGAAUUGCCUCCCACGGCUAACGACCUCCACCUGCCCGGGUUUAUUGUUCGGAGUUUGCUCUCCUAGGUGAAUUGCCUACCACGGCUAACGACCUCCACCUGCCCGGGUUUAUUGUUCGGAGUUUGCUCUCCUAGGUGAAUUGCCUCCCACGGCUAACGACCUCCACCUGCCCGGGUUUGUAUAGAGUUUGCUCUCCUAGGUGAAUUGCCUACCACGGCUAACGACCUCCACCUGCCCGGGUUUGUAUAGAGUUUGCUCUCCUAGGUGAAUUGCCUACCACGGCUAACGAGCCUCACCUGCCCGGGUUUGUAUAGAGUUUGCUCUCCUAGGUGAAUUGCCUACCACGGCUAACGAGCCUCACCUGCCCGGGUUUGUUUAGAGUUUGCUCUCCUAGGUGAAUUGCCUUCCACGGCUAACGAGCCUCACCUGCCCGGGUUUGUUUAGAGUUUGCUCUCCUAGGUGAAUUGCCUUCCACGGCUAACGAGCCUCACCUGCCCGGGUUUGUAUAGAGUUUGCUCUCCUAGGCAGAUUGCCUACCACGGCUAACGAGCUCCACCUGCCCGGGUUUGUAGCCGGAAGAUCUCUGGCACCUCCGUCGGGGCCCGGAGGGACGCCGAGGAGCCCUGCCUGGAGCCCUCCAUUCCUGCCAUGCUCGCCAGGGAGACCUUGGGCUCGCUGGCACUCCACACCCCCGCCGAGGCGAGGAUGCAAGAACUCGCUUCUUAAAACUACUAGACUGGAUUAUAAAAUUAAUCAUAAUUACUGUGAAGGCGCCGGUCACCGCGUUUAUCGGUUCAGGGAUGGAAGACCGACGGGCCUGGGAAACGCGCACAAGCAUCCAAAGGAAUCCUCGCGAUGGCUUGCGACGCAGCAUCCAUUUCCCUUUUCUUUCUCAUUCCAAUUUUUCUUUUUUAUUAUAUUUUCCUUCUCUGAUUGAUUGAUGGAUUGAUUUUACUUGGUAGGAAUCUGCUCACCAAUUAACACCAUUCAGGUGUACAUUGCACCCACACACCUGCCGAGAGAAAACACCAGUGAGAGUGCUGACGCUCACGAGGACGGCCCGCUAGAGUUUCCUAACAUUCGCAUCGGGGCCCACUUCUCUUUAGUCGUCUGUCUCUUUAUU